GACGAACGCUGGCGGCGUGCCUAAUACAUGCAAGUCGAACGCACUCUCGUUUAGAUUGAAGGAGCUUGCUCCUGAUUGAUAAACAUUUGAGUGAGUGGCGGACGGGUGAGUAACACGUGGGUAACCUGCCCUAAAGUGGGGGAUAACAUUUGGAAACAGAUGCUAAUACCGCAUAAAACCUAAACACCGCAUGGUGUAGGGUUGAAAGAUGGUUUCGGCUAUCACUUUAGGAUGGACCCGCGGUGCAUUAGUUAGUUGGUGAGGUAAAGGCUCACCAAGACCGUGAUGCAUAGCCGACCUGAGAGGGUAAUCGGCCACACUGGGACUGAGACACGGCCCAGACUCCUACGGGAGGCAGCAGUAGGGAAUCUUCCACAAUGGACGAAAGUCUGAUGGAGCAACGCCGCGUGAGUGAAGAAGGUUUCGGAUCGUAAAACUCUGUUGUUGGAGAAGAAUGUAUCUGACAGUAACUGAUCAGGUAGUGACGGUAUCCAACCAG
RNAcentral lists this ribosomal RNA (499 nucleotides) under uncultured bacterium. RNAcentral describes it as "bacterial SSU rRNA". It matches the Rfam family "Bacterial small subunit ribosomal RNA", at positions 28 to 486 of the family's 1533-position model. The record is from RNAcentral.